This 406-nucleotide ribosomal RNA is filed under the name uncultured bacterium. RNAcentral's name for it is "partial 16S ribosomal RNA". It matches the Rfam family "Bacterial small subunit ribosomal RNA", at positions 30 to 526 of the family's 1533-position model. The record is from RNAcentral.
AUUGAACGCUGGCGGCAGGCCUAAAACAUGCAAGUCGAACGAGUGGCGGACGGGUGAGUAAUGUCUGGGAAACUGCCUGAUGGAGGGGGAUAACUACUGGAAAAGGUAGCUAAUACCGCAUACCAUCGGAUGUGCCCAGAUGGGAUUAGCUAGUAGGUGGGGUAAAGGCUAACCUAGGCGACGAUCCCUAGCUGGUCUGAGAGGAUGACCAGCCCCACUGGCACUGUGCCACGGUCCAGCCUCCUACGUGAGGCAGCAGUGGGGAAUAUUGCCCAAUGGGCGCAAGCCUGAUGCAGCCAUGCCGCGUGUAUUAAGAAGGCCUUCGGGUUGUAAAGUACUUUCAGCGGGGAGGCGUUACCCGCAGAAGAAGCACCGGCUAACUCCGUGCCAGCAGCCGCGGUAAUUC